This 69-nucleotide transfer RNA is filed under the name Boana lanciformis. Its description in RNAcentral is "tRNA-Val". It matches the Rfam family "tRNA". Rfam says of the family: Transfer RNA (tRNA) molecules are approximately 80 nucleotides in length. Their secondary structure includes four short double-helical elements and three loops (D, anti-codon, and T loops). Lineage: Eukaryota; Metazoa; Chordata; Amphibia; Anura; Hylidae. The record is from RNAcentral.
CAAAAUGUAGCUUAAAUAAAGCACCCCGCUUACACCGGGAAAAUGUUUGAUGAACCCAAACCAUUUUGA